Molecule: ribosomal RNA, 915 nt
Filed under: Triticum aestivum (bread wheat)
Lineage: Eukaryota; Viridiplantae; Streptophyta; Magnoliopsida; Poales; Poaceae
Description: partial small subunit ribosomal RNA
Source: RNAcentral
AUGGAUUCUGCAGUCCUCCAGUUCAGGCUAGACUACGAGCAAGUCAAGCGCCUUAGCGUCGACGAUGUCGUCUGCUCUGAGGCCGUCUCCGUCGGCCAACACCUGUGGAGGAUCGACUGUUACCCGCGGGGACCAGAAAAGUACUCCGACAAGGACAAUGGAAAUUAUGUUUCCCUGUACCUUAGGCACAUGAGCAGCUCCAGAAGCGUACAUGCAAUCUUCGACGCCUUCUUGAUGGACAUAAAUGACGACCCAUCAGAAGCACGAAAGACGACUCGACUUCAUAAGUUCGAAAUCAAGGGCGACCCUUUAAAGCGUGACGACUGGGGAUAUCAUCGGUUCGUGGCCAGAACGGUCCUCGAGGAAAACUAUGUUAUUGAUGGGCACAUCACGUUUGUAUGCACCAUCAUCGUCAUGCGUGAUACACCUGUCACCGUGCCGCCUUCCGACAUCGGGAACCAACUCGGCUGCUUACUGGAUCAGCCACAUGGGACGGACGUGUCGUUUACCGUUGACGGCGAGACAUUCCCGGCGAACCGAGCGAUUCUUGCAGCCCGCUCGCCCGUCUUCAAGGCAGAGCUUUUUGGGUCCAUGGCCGAAGCUGCAAUGUCAUCCAUCACGCUGCAUGAUAUCACACCCGCUACAUUCAAACAUAUGCUUCGGUUCAUAUACACGGAUGAGUUUCCUACUACUACACAGGAUAACCCAUCCAAUGACGUAUUGUUUGAUUUAUUACUUGCCGCUGCAGAUCGGUACGCACUAGACCGGCUAAAGCUUAUGUGUGUCCAAAAGUUAUGGGAUAAUGUGUCGAUGGAUACAGUUACAGAUAUUCAAGCUUGCGCUGAGAUGUACAAUUGCCCAGAGUUGAAGGACAAGUGCAUUGACUUUAUUAUGCGCAAAAAAAAAGUGCAUUGA